Molecule: long non-coding RNA, 1261 nt
Filed under: Carica papaya (papaya)
Lineage: Eukaryota; Viridiplantae; Streptophyta; Magnoliopsida; Brassicales; Caricaceae
Description: long non-coding RNA (CPAP_LNC004880)
Source: RNAcentral
CUGGUACAUAAUUGUCUGCUGUUUGAUACAGUUUCUUGUCAAUUUAGUAAUUACUACGACAUUUAAAAGAGAAAUUUGGAGAAUAUAUAUGUAGCAUCCAACCCCAAGUAAAAUAGAAAGAGUAGGUAAAUAAAUAAAUAAAUUGAGAUUGGGAUUUAAAUGAAAUGGAUUUUAAAAUUUUGGGGUUUUUAUUUAAUUUUAAGGAUCUAAAUGAAAACAUGUAAGAAAAAAGGGAGUACAAGUAUAAAUAAAUGGAAGUGGAAGAAAGCAAAAGAAAUAAGAAAACACGAACAGUCCUAAUCGAACCGUCUGAGCGGUCCAACGGCUGAGGUUUUAUUGAAGAUGAAUGGCCCAUAUCAAGCUUUGUGAGAUCCAACGGUCAGGGAGACGGAUAUAAAAAGGAAAAGUUAAGAGUUUUUUCUUCAUUUGAGAGAUAAGGAGAGAGGUGAGCAGAUCGGGUGAGAGAGAGAAGAAGAGAGCUGUUGAGCGGGGGAGCCGAGAGAGAGCAAAAUGGAGUGAUUCCCAAAUCCAGAAAUAUCGAGUUCCGUACCCGAGGAAGGCUCUUCGGCUUCCCGGGUGGUGAAUCGGGUCCCCAUUCCCGAAAAAGACCCUUCGGCUUCCCGAAUGGGUGGAUCGGAAGACCAUUCAGCUUCCCGAGUAGGUGGAUCUGGUUCCCAUACCCGAGGAAGACCCCUUGGUUUCUGAGUGGGUGGGUGACCCGGCCGAGUACGAGCGGCCAACUCGACGCCAACAGUCCGCCUCCGUCGCCCUAACAACCAGACAAUCACAAAAGGAAGUUUACAUGCGCUGGUGUGGUGCGAUUCGGCCUCGGGUUCAACUCCGGAUGGUCCUCUCGGCUACCCCCCGACUCUCCUUGUUUGCUUGAGAUUUGGAUGACGGAUUUCACGCCUACAAACCGGUUAAUGUAAAAUAGAUAAAGGGAUUGAAAGAAAGUAAGGUGAAAAGAUGAAAAAGGACGAAUUUUUACCUUACUUGCUUCAGUUUCCGUCGUCACACGACUUCUCAGCUCGAUUUUCCUUCCUUCUUCCUUUCGGCUUUGGCUUCCAUAACUCUCUCACCUCCGCCACUCUCUCUUCUUUUCUUCCCUUGCAGCGGCCGUUCUUGGAAUUUAUGUAUGUAUAUUAUUAAUUUUGUGUGUAUUUUAAAUAUAAAACAGAUACUGACCCAAUUUUUGAUGAAGAACAGAAUCUGAACCUAUGACAACUGAACCAUAAUAUGUUGGAAUGUAUGAGGAGAUGAA